Long non-coding RNA from Pygocentrus nattereri (red-bellied piranha), 713 nucleotides. RefSeq lists it as uncharacterized. The record is from RefSeq and is a predicted model, not a curated record. NCBI's taxonomy places the organism in Eukaryota, Metazoa, Chordata, Actinopteri, Characiformes, Serrasalmidae. The transcript has 4 exons.
GCGAGUGAGAGAGAGCGAGAAAACGAGAAAGGGGAGGAACAUUGAGCAGUUCUCAUACGCCUACUGUCUGCCAUGAAGAGGUUCUCUGGUGAAUACAAUGAGAGAUGCUUCCAUCAUUUCUCACAAAGAGAAAUAACUGCAGAAAUCACAGCAUGACCAGGCCACAGCAUGACCAGGCCAACGCUCUGAGCUACAUUUUUGUGGUCUCAACGCAAAGAUCAUGGAGCUGGUGCAUGUGGGUUUUCACCAACUUCGACAAAAGCAUCUGAUGAGCAGGUCAAAUACAUCUGAGUGUCUGAAUCUGAUCAUGAGCUUCAAUAGGUUGAGUCAUUGUGGCCUUUUGGUGUGAAAGGAUAAAUGCUGCUUUACUCACAGCGCUGACAGGGACACAGUCACACUGACAAUGAUCAUCAACUGCAUAAGCAGGAAGCAGGAUUUGGACGAACACUAGCUUGUUUCUUAUUUUUUUGCAUUGUUCCUCCACAACAGAGCUUGAUUAUUUAUGUGGUAGACUGAACUGCAGUGUAGACUAACUCCAGCAAACUAACUAAACAAGUGUGGAUCCUAACAGUGUGUAUGUGUUUGCAGUAUGUGAUAUAGUAUCUGCUAUACUGUUCAUCAAGACUUCUUAGUCCUUGGUUAGCAUCACUGUGAACCAUGACAACAGGCAUGAAUGAAUAAUAAGAAGCAUAAACGACAUGGCUGAGACCAGA